Stomoxys calcitrans (stable fly) is the source of this 419-nucleotide long non-coding RNA. RefSeq lists it as uncharacterized. Lineage: Eukaryota; Metazoa; Arthropoda; Insecta; Diptera; Muscidae. The transcript is spliced from 2 exons. The record is from RefSeq and is a predicted model, not a curated record.
UAGCCUUCCGGACGGUUGCCACUAGUUGGGCGCAAUUGAUACACAAGGACACACACAAACUGGGCUGUCUUCGUACGGAAGGUGGCUUACAAAGCUCUUGGUAAGACAACACACUCGGCACAGGCUUCAAUAAAAUUUCUGCUUCAAUACCAGCAGGCGCCACAAGAAAUAUCACCGUUCACAGUCCGAUGGCCUGAUGGUAGCUGGGUAAAGUCUCGCAACUAGCUGAUUUUUUUCCGCAAUAAAAUAUCGCACUUUCCCCCUUUAUAGCUAGGAUGGCCAGUGUUAUUCUUCAAACCACAGGAAUCACUUUCUAUACACAAAAGAAAUGACAAAAUCACAAAUCUACUACAAAUUUUAGGAACCACAGUUCACUCACAUUCAAAUCUGUUCACACAAUACACGAAGAUAAAAAUUAA